This 551-nucleotide ribosomal RNA is filed under the name uncultured bacterium. RNAcentral describes it as "bacterial SSU rRNA". It matches the Rfam family "Bacterial small subunit ribosomal RNA", at positions 355 to 896 of the family's 1533-position model. The record is from RNAcentral.
UGAGGAAUUUUGCGCAAUGGGGGAAACCCUGACGCAGCAACGCCGCGUGAGUGAUGAAGGCUUUCGGGUCGUAAAGCUCUGUCAAGUGGGAAGAACCUGCAGUAUGCUAAUAUCAUAUUGCACUGACGGUACCACUGAAGGAAGCACCGGCUAACUCCGUGCCAGCAGCCGCGGUAAUACGGGGGGUGCAAGCGUUAUUCGGAAUCAUUGGGCGUAAAGAGCACGUAGGCGGCUUGGUAAGUCAGAUGUGAAAGCCCUGGGCUUAACCCGGGAAGUGCAUUUGAUACUGCCAGGCUUGAGUAUGGGAGAGGGAAGUGGAAUUCCUGGUGUAGAGGUGAAAUUCGUAGAUAUCAGGAGGAACACCGGUGGCGAAGGCGACUUCCUGGACCAAUACUGACGCUGAGGUGCGAAGGCGUGGGGAGCAAACAGGAUUAGAUACCCUGGUAGUCCACGCAGUAAACGUUGUUCACUAGGUGUAGCGGGUAUUGACCCCUGCUGUGCCGCAGUUAACGCAUUAAGUGAACCGCCUGGGGAGUACGGCCGCAAGGUUA